Molecule: non-coding RNA, 71 nt
Organism: Phrynosoma platyrhinos (Desert horned lizard)
Lineage: Eukaryota; Metazoa; Chordata; Lepidosauria; Squamata; Phrynosomatidae
Source: the annotation of a GenBank genome assembly
GCUGAAGCGUGGCGUAGUGGUUUGAGUGUUGGACUACAACUCGAGACCAGAGUUCGAUUCCCAGCUCAGCC